GCAUUACUGAGGAGCCCCGUAAUAGGGCGAAACGGCCGUUCAAUGC
RNAcentral lists this non-coding RNA (46 nucleotides) under Schistosoma margrebowiei. The record is from RNAcentral. Lineage: Eukaryota; Metazoa; Platyhelminthes; Trematoda; Strigeidida; Schistosomatidae.